This 245-nucleotide ribosomal RNA is filed under the name uncultured eukaryote. Its description in RNAcentral is "partial small subunit ribosomal RNA". It matches the Rfam family "Eukaryotic small subunit ribosomal RNA", at positions 587 to 836 of the family's 1831-position model. The record is from RNAcentral.
AGCUCCAAUAGCGUAUAUUAAAGUUGUUGCGGUUAAAAAGCUCGUAGUUCAUUUUCUGCUGAGGUCGAUCGGUCCGCCCUCUGGGUGAGUAUCUGGUUUUGCCUUGGCAUUUUCUUGGGGAACAUGGCUGCACUUGACUGUGUGGCGUGGUACCUAAGGUGUUUACUUUGAGGAAAUCAGAGUGCUUCCAGCAGGCUUUCGCCUUGAAUACAUUAGCAUGGAAUAAUAAUAUAAGGCUUUGGUUU